RNAcentral lists this ribosomal RNA (552 nucleotides) under uncultured Paraglomus. RNAcentral's name for it is "SSU rRNA". It matches the Rfam family "Eukaryotic small subunit ribosomal RNA", at positions 548 to 1103 of the family's 1831-position model. Lineage: Eukaryota; Fungi; Glomeromycota; Glomeromycetes; Paraglomerales; Paraglomeraceae. The record is from RNAcentral.
UUGGAGGGCAAGUCUGGUGCCAGCAGCCGCGGUAAUUCCAGCUCCAAUAGCGUAUAUUAAAGUUGUUGCAGUUAAAAAGCUCGUAGUUGAAUUUCAGGCCUGGCUGGACGGUCCGCCCUUCGGGUGAGUACUGUCUGCGGUCGAGUCCUACCUUCUGGCGAAGCGUCAUGGCCUUAACCGGCCGUGGCGGGGAACCAGGACUUUUACUGUGAAAAAAUUAGAGCGUUCAAAGCAGGCAAAUCGCUUGGAUACAUUAGCAUGGAAUAAUGGAAUAGGACAAUGGUUCUAUUUGUUGGCUUCUAGGACCGUUGUAAUGAUUAAUAGGGAUAGUUGGGGGCAUUAGUAUUCAAUUGUCAGAGGUGAAAUUCUUGGAUUUAUUGAAGACUAACUACUGCGAAAGCAUUUGCCAAGGAUGUUUUCAUUAAUCAAGAACGAAAGUUAGGGGAUCGAAGACGAUCAGAUACCGUCGUAGUCUUAACCAUAAACUAUGCCGACUAGGAAUCGGGCGAUGUUGAAAAAAUGACGCGCUCGGCACCCUAUGGGAAACCAAAG